GGGGUGGACCAAGAAGCAGGGUCGAACUCUUUGAGUUGGGUGUUAGGUCGUUGGUAGCAGGCCAUCCAUGUCACGGCGGCAUUGAGAACAAAAAAAUGGUUGCUGGAGGGAGGCUGAUUGUGAUGGAUCUGAGGCAGAGGAUACACACCGGCCAUGGUCCAUGAGAAGUAUAUAUCGGAGUAUAUCCGUAUAAGCACAUUGGGGGAGAAAUAGCUAUUUGCGGCCUUUUUAGUUGCUCAUGUUUGUGGAUUUGUACCAACGUAAGUGCUGUACUUCAUUGUGUCCUUUCUAAUGCAGAUUAUCUUAUGUGCUUCCUUUUAGGAUAUUAUAUUAAUCUUGUGUUUUAGGAGAUGGCUAUGCUAUUGAAGAUUUUCUCAUGGACGUCUUAAAUUGAAAAGGCCAUAAGCUACCAGUUCACAUGAUAAUUUGGUAGCUGAAACUUUAUUAUUUUUUGGCUGCAAAAUAAGUAUGAAUUUUCAAAAUUAGACAAAAGUCUAAAAAUUUAGAAGUGUGUACUGUGAAUAAAUAAACCACCAUUUUAUCAAGCAUGCGAUGCUUGUUCGUUCCAUGUUUUAACAUGGUGCCCACCUCAUCGUCCAUCAAUUCUUGUGUAAGAUUUAUAGUUAGAGAAUUGUAAACAUGAGACUUUAUUUUUAAAAGAAAACACCUUUACCUGUAAAAGACCAAUAAAAGUGCAUGUAUGAAUGUAUUUGAAAAGAAUUACAGUUUGCGUCGCACUCUUAUCAUAUGAUAAGAUUCUUCUUAACUUGGUAGCUGUCAAGUACUCAUACUAUAUCUACGUAAAUAAAUAGUCUGUCUUUACUAUUCGUAAGCUACUAAUCAAUCGAUCUUUUGGAUAAAUUCCUUGUUCACUUAGGCCUCCAUUUUUCAUAGGCAAUAUUAGAGUCUUCAUCUUCAAGAGUUGCAAUUACUUUUUACUUUUGCAUGCACCAGUUUUUUGUUCUCGCAGGUAUUUUUGCUUUCUUUCUACAACACUUGUCCCGGUGCGUCCAUCCUCCACGUCAUCUAAUAAUACAAUACAUCUUCGUUUAGCAUAGUCAUUGAGGGGUCCAUGUGAUGAUGAUAUUUGUCUCAAUGCCUAUCUUUGUUCAGCAUAGUCCCAUUAAUAUUGUGUGGUUCUUUUUUCUUAGGCACCAGUUCACAUAACCUUUUCCUUGGUCGGUCAUCAUUAUUCUGUGACUGCAAAAUGAAACGCAUUUAAAAAUAAUACAUGCUUAAAAAUCUAAAAGUGUGUAUGGUGGAAACAUUAAUCUCCCUUUUAGCUCACAUGUCUUGCUUCUUCGUUUUUUGUUCCAACGCGGUGUCCACUUUGUCAUCUAUCAACUGUUUGGCAUACUGCAAGAUAAGCCAGUGAGGAAGAACAGAAAAGAUAGUACUUAGUUAAUUAUUUUGAUGAAUUAAAUGCACCUUUACCUCCUCAGCUUUAUUGUUCAAGUACAACAUCUCUAGCAAGGCACAAAUCUUCUUUUUACUGCCUAGUUUUGCUUGCCAAAAAUAAGAUUACUGCUGUUGAGCUUGAAUCUAAAGAUAAUUUAACCUCGCCAUUAGAUGACAGACAUCGCACAUCUGAGUCUUCAUCGUUAAAUGUUGUAUUUUUGACUUUUGCUUCGAUGUGUUAUUAGUAGACCAGAAUAGAUAAUGUUUCAUACUUGUGAAGAAGUUCUUGAAUUUUGGAUAUAUCUAGAUCCCUACGUAUUCUUGUGGCACAUGUUGACUUUACGCACAAACCCAUCAACAAUUAAUCUAUUACAUAUUUUUGUUUUGUAAUUAAAAGAUGAGAUUUCGAAAUUAUUGGACUUACAAUUGCAUUUUUGCACCAUUGUUUAGGUCACUGUAAGGCCGGUUUGGUUUUGGAGUACAUAUUCAUCCAAAUAAUAAGCAAACAUUCUGAUAUCGUAACUUUGGUUUCAGCCGAAGAUGUUAAGCCUGAAAAUUUAAUGCCAACCGCAAUGGAGGAAGUUAGAACUUAAGACAUUGGUAUACACUCUGCAUUUACUCUUGUAUAGGAAAAUAAAUAUCACAGAUAUAGGACAGUUUUGUGUUCUUUGUUUUUUUUUGUUCCACAUGCUUCAUCUGGGUAAGUAGUCCGAUGACAUCUGUCAAUUUGGUGAUUAAUUACCUCAUAGUUAUAAUGAUUGAUUAAACAAAAAUCUGAUUUAUAACUGUAACAUACCUGAGCAUUGCUUACCUUUAUAUGCUUCUUGUUGUACUAUGACCUUGGUAUCGGACUCAAAGUAGUAAUUCUGAAAAACUUUCAAUAAUCCUACAUCUGUCAAAUUGGUGAUUAAUUGCCACAUAGGUAGAAUGAUGGAUUAGCCCAAAAUCUGAUUUACAACUAUGACUUACCUGAGCAUUAUUUAUCUUUUUAUAUGAUUGUUCUAGUAUGUCCUUGCUAGCAAACUCAAAGUAGUAGUUAUGAAAAACUUCUGAUUAUCUUUUCACCUCCUCUCUCUGUGUAUUGUAUGCAAACUUUUUUCUAAUAUCAUUGUUCAGCGUGCCAUAUUUUGUGCCUCCCACAACCUAUUGCUAAAUGAAUAAAUAUAUUUCUUAGUUAUCCUUUGAUUUUUAAGUAUCCAUCUGAUUUUUACGUAUGGUAGCAUGAGUUGUUUGGUCCUCUAUGAAAAUAACUACUAUAUACUUAUCAACUAUUGUUUGAUACAGUACAAUAGUCCACAUUUCAAAUUGUAUAUAAUAAACCUGCUCAUAUGUGAAGAUCACAUCAAGACUCAGUCAUCGAUUGUUUUUGAAACAAUAGUCUGCAAUUAAAUAUGUAUAGCAUAAACAUGUACAUCCAUCAAGACCACAUCAAGGCUCAUAAGUUCAUUGGUUGUAGGAUUGAUUGUAUCCCAUGUUCUCGUUACUUUCACUAAAACAUUCCAGUUUUGGUCUCUUGUUGAAGUUUCUCAACUUCUUGUAUUCCCUAGCGUUUUCACUUCAAAAGGAUUAAAACGCAUUGCUUCAAAAGGAUUGAAAAAGUUGUUGUCAAUUGAUAACAUAAAUAUGAAGAUUUUAGCUAAAAAAGUGAGUUCAUAGUAAUACUAAUUACUAACCUUGUUGAUUCAGGUGAGAAGAAAACUCAGAUGGCUGGGUGUAACUUUUGUAGAAAUCGAGUUGCAUACCACAUCAUAAUUUGGGCUGGCUUCGAUAUUUGUUGUGCUCUGAGUCUGAACAUCUCGUGUCAGAGUCUGUUGGCUUCAAUUGUCCUGGUGGUGGCAAGUCAUGGCAUCGUAGAGCUGGUUGGCUUCAGUUUUCUUGGUGUGGCGCAGAGUCGUGAGUUUGCUGGGUAUCUUAGAUUUCCAUGGUGGGCGAUGGCUGGGUGUAACUUCUGUAGAAAUCGAGUUGCAUACCACUUCAUAAUUUGGGCUGGCUUCGAUAUUUGCUAUGCGCCGAGUCUGAACAUCUCACGUCAGAGUCUGUUGGCUUAAAUUGUCCUGAUGGUGGCAUUGUCGAGUCAUGGCUUCGUAGAGCUGGUUGGCUUUAGUUUUCUAGGUGUGGCGCAGAGUCGCGAGUUGCUGGGUAUCUUAGAUUUCCAUGGUGGGCGUGUGCUGGCUGAUGGAUGUGGCAGGCUGUGUAUUUUUAUGGAUGAGUUCUCGCCGUUGUCUUUAUGGAGUCCUUGUAUGUUUAUAUUUCCAAUUAAAGGCUAUAUGUGACAACAUGAUGAUGGAUGCGG
This 3691-nucleotide long non-coding RNA is filed under the name Triticum aestivum (bread wheat). RNAcentral describes it as "long non-coding RNA (TAES_LNC002905)". Lineage: Eukaryota; Viridiplantae; Streptophyta; Magnoliopsida; Poales; Poaceae. The record is from RNAcentral.